This 1332-nucleotide ribosomal RNA is filed under the name uncultured bacterium. RNAcentral describes it as "bacterial SSU rRNA". It matches the Rfam family "Bacterial small subunit ribosomal RNA", at positions 28 to 1381 of the family's 1533-position model. The record is from RNAcentral.
GACGAACGCUGGCGGCGCGCCUAACACAUGCAAGUCGAACGAGAGAUGAGGAGCUUGCUCUUCAAAUCGAGUGGCGAACGGGUGAGUAACGCGUGAGGAACCUGCCUCAAAGAGGGGGACAACAGUUGGAAACGACUGCUAAUACCGCAUAAGCCCACGGCUCGGCAUCGAGCAGAGGGAAAAGGAGCAAUCCGCUUUGAGAUGGCCUCGCGUCCGAUUAGCUAGUUGGUGAGGUAACGGCCCACCAAGGCGACGAUCGGUAGCCGGACUGAGAGGUUGAACGGCCACAUUGGGACUGAGACACGGCCCAGACUCCUACGGGAGGCAGCAGUGGGGAAUAUUGCACAAUGGGGGAAACCCUGAUGCAGUGACGCCGCGUGGAGGAAGAAGGUCUUCGGAUUGUAAACUCCUGUUGUUGAGGAAGAUAAUGACGGUACUCAACAAGGAAGUGACGGCUAACUACGUGCCAGCAGCCGCGGUAAAACGUAGGUCACAAGCGUUGUCCGGAAUUACUGGGUGUAAAGGGAGCGCAGGCGGGAGAACAAGUUGGAAGUGAAAUCCAUGGGCUCAACCCAUGAACUGCUUUCAAAACUGUUUUUCUUGAGUAGUGCAGAGGUAGGCGGAAUUCCCGGUGUAGCGGUGGAAUGCGUAGAUAUCGGGAGGAACACCAGUGGCGAAGGCGGCCUACUGGGCACCAACUGACGCUGAGGCUCGAAAGUGUGGGUAGCAAACAGGAUUAGAUACCCUGGUAGUCCACACCGUAAACGAUGAUUACUAGGUGUUGGAGGAUUGACCCCUUCAGUGCCGCAGUUAACACAAUAAGUAAUCCACCUGGGGAGUACGACCGCAAGGUUGAAACUCAAAGGAAUUGACGGGGGCCCGCACAAGCAGUGGAGUAUGUGGUUUAAUUCGACGCAACGCGAAGAACCUUACCAAGUCUUGACAUCCUGCGACGCACAUAGAAAUAUGUGUUUCCUUCGGGACGCAGAGACAGGUGGUGCAUGGUUGUCGUCAGCUCGUGUCGUGAGAUGUUGGGUUAAGUCCCGCAACGAGCGCAACCCUUAUGGUCAGUUACUACGCAAGAGGACUCUGGCCAGACUGCCGUUGACAAAACGGAGGAAGGUGGGGAUGACGUCAAAUCAUCAUGCCCUUUAUGACUUGGGCUACACACGUACUACAAUGGCGUUAAACAAAGAGAAGCAAGACCGCGAGGUGGAGCAAAACUCAGAAACAACGUCCCAGUUCGGACUGCAGGCUGCAACUCGCCUGCACGAAGUCGGAAUUGCUAGUAAUCGUGGAUCAGCAUGCCACGGUGAAUACGUUCCCGGGCCU